Molecule: ribosomal RNA, 484 nt
Filed under: uncultured bacterium
Lineage: Bacteria
Description: partial 16S ribosomal RNA
Rfam family: Bacterial small subunit ribosomal RNA
Source: RNAcentral
GACGAACGCUGGCGGCGUGCUUAACACAUGCAAGUCGAACGGAAAGGCCCUGCUUUUGUGGGGUGCUCGAGUGGCGAACGGGUGAGUAACACGUGAGUAACCUGCCCUUGACUUUGGGAUAACUUCAGGAAACUGGGGCUAAUACCGGAUAGGAGCUCCUGCUGCAUGGUGGGGGUUGGAAAGUUUGGGCGGUUGGGGAUGGACUCGCGGUUUAUAAGCUUGUUGGUGGGGUAGUGGCUUACCAAGGCUUUGACGGGUAGCCGGCCUGAGAGGGUGACCGGCAACAUUGGGACUGAGAUACGGCCCAGACUCCAACGGGAGGCAGCAGUGGGGAAUAUUGCACAAUGGGCGGAAGCCUGAUGCAGCAACGCCGCGUGCGGGAUGACGGCCUUCGGGUUGUAAACCGCUUUCGCCUGUGACGAAGCGUGAGUGACGGUAAUGGGUAAAGAAGUACCGGCUAACUACGUGCCAGCAGCCGCCGUAA